AUUGAACGCUGGCGGCAUGCCUUACACAUGCAAGUCGAACGGUAACGGGCCUUCGGGUGCCGACGAGUGGCGAACGGGUGAGUAAUGUAUCGGAACGUACCUUUCAGUGGGGGAUAACGUAGCGAAAGUUACGCUAAUACCGCAUAUUCUGUGAGCAGGAAAGCAGGGGAUCGCAAGACCUUGCGCUGAUUGGGCGGCCGAUAUCAGAUUAGCUAGUUGGUGAGGUAAAGGCUCACCAAGGCGACGAUCUGUAGCGGGUCUGAGAGGAUGAUCCGCCACACUGGAACUGAGACACGGUCCAGACUCCUACGGGAGGCAGCAGUGGGGAAUUUUGGACAAUGGGGGCAACCCUGAUCCAGCCAUGCCGCGUGAGUGAAGAAGGCC
This 384-nucleotide ribosomal RNA is filed under the name uncultured bacterium. RNAcentral describes it as "bacterial SSU rRNA". It matches the Rfam family "Bacterial small subunit ribosomal RNA", at positions 30 to 416 of the family's 1533-position model. The record is from RNAcentral.